GAUGAACGCUGGCGGCGUGCUUAACACAUGCAAGUCGAACGGAACUACUCCAAUGAGAGUCUUCGGAAAGGAUUUGGUUUAGUUUAGUGGCGGACGGGUGAGUAACACGUGGAUAACCUACCUAUAAGACUGGGAUAACUUCGGGAAACCGUAGCUAAUACCGGAUAAUAUUUUGAACCGCAUGGUUCAAAAGUGAAAGACGGUCUUGCUGUCACUUAUAGAUGGAUCCGCGCUGCAUUAGCUAGUUGGUAAGGUAACGGCUUACCAAGGCAACGAUGCAUAGCCGACCUGAGAGGGUGAUCGGCCACACUGGAACUGAGACACGGUCCAGACUCCUACGGGAGGCAGCAGUAGGGAAUCUUCCGCAAUGGGCGAAAGCCUGACGGAGCAACGCCGCGUGAGUGAUGAAGGUCUUCGGAUCGUAAAACUCUGUUAUUAGGGAAGAACAUAUGUGUAAGUAACUGUGCACAUCUUGACGGUACCUAAUCAGAAAGCCACGGCUAACUACGUG
Molecule: ribosomal RNA, 511 nt
Filed under: uncultured bacterium
Lineage: Bacteria
Description: partial 16S ribosomal RNA
Rfam family: Bacterial small subunit ribosomal RNA
Source: RNAcentral